This 57-nucleotide transfer RNA is filed under the name Halobacillus trueperi. RNAcentral describes it as "tRNA-Lys". It matches the Rfam family "tRNA", at positions 1 to 55 of the family's 71-position model. From Rfam's summary of the family: Transfer RNA (tRNA) molecules are approximately 80 nucleotides in length. Their secondary structure includes four short double-helical elements and three loops (D, anti-codon, and T loops). Further hydrogen bonds mediate the characteristic L-shaped molecular structure. tRNAs have two regions of fundamental functional importance: the anti-codon, which is responsible for specific mRNA codon recognition, and the 3' end, to which the tRNAs corresponding amino acid is attached (by aminoacyl-tRNA synthetases). tRNAs cope with the degeneracy of the genetic code in two manners: having more than one tRNA (with a specific anti-codon) for a particular amino acid; and 'wobble' base-pairing, i.e. permitting non-standard base-pairing at the 3rd anti-codon position. Lineage: Bacteria; Bacillati; Bacillota; Bacilli; Caryophanales; Bacillaceae. The record is from RNAcentral.
GAGCCAUUAGCUCAGCUGGUAGAGCAUCUGACUUUUAAUCAGAGGGUCGAAGGUUCG